This 253-nucleotide ribosomal RNA is filed under the name uncultured bacterium. RNAcentral describes it as "partial 16S ribosomal RNA". It matches the Rfam family "Bacterial small subunit ribosomal RNA", at positions 524 to 776 of the family's 1533-position model. The record is from RNAcentral.
UACGUAGGGGGCUAGCGUUGUCCGGAAUCAUUGGGCGUAAAGCGCGUGUAGGCGGUUCGGUAAGUCCGCUGUGAAAGUCGGGGGCUCAACCCUCGGAUGCCGGUGGAUACUGUCGGACUAGAGUACGGAAGAGGCGAGUGGAAUUCCUGGUGUAGCGGUGAAAUGCGCAGAUAUCAGGAGGAACACCGGUGGCGAAGGCGGGUCUCUGGGCCGAAAUUGACGCUGAGGAGCGAAAGCGUGGGGAGCAAACAGG